Molecule: ribosomal RNA, 452 nt
Filed under: Streptococcus cristatus
Lineage: Bacteria; Bacillati; Bacillota; Bacilli; Lactobacillales; Streptococcaceae
Description: bacterial SSU rRNA
Rfam family: Bacterial small subunit ribosomal RNA
Source: RNAcentral
GACGAACGCUGGCGGCGUGCCUAAUACAUGCAAGUAGAACGCUGAAGGGAGAGCUUGCUCUUCUGGAUGAGUUGCGAACGGGUGAGUAACGCGUAGGUAACCUGCCUGGUAGCGGGGGAUAACUAUUGGAAACGAUAGCUAAUACCGCAUAACAUUGACUAUUGCAUGAUAGUCAAUUAAAAGGUGCAAAUGCACCACUACCAGAUGGACCUGCGUUGUAUUAGCUAGUUGGUGGGGUAACGGCUCACCAAGGCGACGAUACAUAGCCGACCUGAGAGGGUGAUCGGCCACACUGGGACUGAGACACGGCCCAGACUCCUACGGGAGGCAGCAGUAGGGAAUCUUCGGCAAUGGACGGAAGUCUGACCGAGCAACGCCGCGUGAGUGAAGAAGGUUUUCGGAUCGUAAAGCUCUGUUGUAAGAGAAGAACGAGUGUGAGAGGGAAAGUUCAC